Molecule: ribosomal RNA, 253 nt
Filed under: uncultured bacterium
Lineage: Bacteria
Description: partial 16S ribosomal RNA
Rfam family: Bacterial small subunit ribosomal RNA
Source: RNAcentral
UACAGAGGGGGCAAGCGUUGUUCGGAAUUACUGGGCGUAAAGGGCGCGUAGGCGGCCUUCUAAGUCGAACGUGAAAUCCCCGGGCUCAACCCGGGAACUGCGUCCGAUACUGGAAGGCUUGAAUCCGGGAGAGGGAUGCGGAAUUCCAGGUGUAGCGGUGAAAUGCGCAGAUAUCAGGAGGAACACCGAUGGCGAAGGCAGCUCGCUGGGACGGUACUGACGCUGAGGCGCGAAAGCGUGGGGAGCAAACAGG